UUAAUAACCUGGCAAUUGGAGAUACCAUGAUCAAGAAGGUGGUUCACCCAACCAUCAGCAAAUUUAAUUGCACUCUUUUGGGACCAGAAAUCGAAUUCCCAAAUGUGGGAAUCUCAAAGCACAAUUUCUGGUGGUGGGGAUCAGCCGCCACAACCUCCCUG
This is a small nuclear RNA of 161 nucleotides. Its record names the gene U1. It matches the Rfam family "U1 spliceosomal RNA". From Rfam's summary of the family: U1 is a small nuclear RNA (snRNA) component of the spliceosome (involved in pre-mRNA splicing). Its 5' end forms complementary base pairs with the 5' splice junction, thus defining the 5' donor site of an intron. The record is from Ensembl.